Molecule: ribosomal RNA, 414 nt
Filed under: uncultured microorganism
Description: bacterial SSU rRNA
Rfam family: Archaeal small subunit ribosomal RNA
Source: RNAcentral
CAGCAGCCGCGGUAAUACCGGCGGCCCGAGUGGCGGUCACUCUUAUUGGGCUUAAAGCGUCCGUAGCCGGGUUGGGAAGUCCUCCGGGAAAUCUGGCCGCUUAACGGUCAGAAUGCCGGAGGAUACUCCCAGCCUAGGGAGCGGGAGAGGCCGAGGGGAUUCCCGGAGUAGGGGUGGAAUCCUAUAAUCCCGGGAGGACCACCUGUGGCGGAGGCGCUCGGCUGGAACGCGUCCGACGGUGAGGGACGAAGGCCAGGGGAGCAAACCGGAUUAGAUACCCGGGUAGUCCUGGCGGUAAACGAUGCGGACUUUGUGUCGGACAAGCUAUGAGCUUGUCCGGUGCCGGAGGGAAACCGUUAAGUCCGCCGCCUGGGGAGUACGGCCGCAAGGCUGAAACUUAAAGGAAUUGGCGGG